CUCAGCUUUGCUGUGGUGCUGUGGGGUGGCCAGUUGUGGGGACAGCAGGACAAGCAGGAUGAUGCCCUCAGCUGGGAUGUAAGGGAUUGGCUGCUCUGCUCCAUUGGCCUGGCCUUGCUGAGGUGACUUGGCUGCACAAAGUGAGGGUUGAGGGCCACCCCAGCUGCCUCUUGCCCUCUCCAAGCCUUGCACACUAGUAUGGGUUGGGGAGAGCUGCUUUCACAACCUGGAUGUGUUGUCACUCACUUCCAGACGUUUCCUGUUAUCUAACCUCAGCCUUAUCUUCCCCAUUUGCAGCUUCCUCUUGAAGGAGGAGCAGCCCCUUCAAAACUGAGCUGUGCCCUGCUGCCAAGCCAGCCCUGCACCACUGUCCCUGCCAGCUCCUUCUCUUGGCUGUUCCCCACAUCCAGGCUGUCAGAUGAAGGUUCUCCCACACCUCCAGCAAGCAUCGCAGAGCAGCUGGGGAAGGGGCUGGAGCUCACAGGCUGCAGAUCUGUCUGGUCGCCAUGUUAAAUCCCCCUGAGAGAUGCCCAGGACAGCACCCCAGCGAGGACAGUGACAGCCUGGUGAGAGCUGCAGUGUAGCACUGCGUGUAUUUGACAAGCUGAGUUUGACACUCAGUCUGGCAGAGUGUCAGUUUGUCAAAUACCCCAAGUGAGGCACUUGCUGAGCAACACGGCCGCGCACCGAGGGGAUGGACUCCUUCACACGCUCCUCUCUAAAAGCCUAAUGAGGUAUGGAACAAACUGCCCCACUGUA
RNAcentral lists this long non-coding RNA (759 nucleotides) under Coturnix japonica (Japanese quail). Its description in RNAcentral is "lncRNA (ENSCJPG00005002968.1)". The stretch from base 564 to 671 matches the Rfam family "mir-223 microRNA precursor family". Lineage: Eukaryota; Metazoa; Chordata; Aves; Galliformes; Phasianidae. The record is from RNAcentral.